This 795-nucleotide ribosomal RNA is filed under the name uncultured bacterium. RNAcentral describes it as "bacterial SSU rRNA". It matches the Rfam family "Bacterial small subunit ribosomal RNA", at positions 8 to 796 of the family's 1533-position model. The record is from RNAcentral.
AGAGUUUGAUCAUGGCUCAGAUUGAACGCUGGCGGCAUGCCUUACACAUGCAAGUCGAACGGCAGCACGGGGGCAACCCUGGUGGCGAGUGGCGAACGGGUGAGUAAUAUAUCGGAACGUGCCCUGGAGUGGGGGAUAACGUAGCGAAAGUUACGCUAAUACCGCAUACGAUCUACGGAUGAAAGUGGGGGAUUCGCAAGAACCUCACGCUCCUGGAGCGGCCGAUAUCUGAUUAGCUAGUUGGUGGGGUAAAAGCCUACCAAGGCGACGAUCAGUAGCUGGUCUGAGAGGACGACCAGCCACACUGGGACUGAGACACGGCCCAGACUCCUACGGGAGGCAGCAGUGGGGAAUUUUGGACAAUGGGGGCAACCCUGAUCCAGCAAUGCCGCGUGAGUGAAGAAGGCCUUCGGGUUGUAAAGCUCUUUUGUCAGGGAAGAAACGGUUUGGCCUAAUACGCUGGACUAAUGACGGUACCUGAAGAAUAAGCACCGGCUAACUACGUGCCAGCAGCCGCGGUAAUACGUAGGGUGCAAGCGUUAAUCGGAAUUACUGGGCGUAAAGCGUGCGCAGGCGGUUAUGUAAGACAGAUGUGAAAUGCCCGGGCUUAACCUGGGAACUGCAUUUGUGACUGCAUGGCUAGAGUGUGUCAGAGGGGGGUAGAAUUCCACGUGUAGCAGUGAAAUGCGUAGAUAUGUGGAGGAAUACCGAUGGCGAAGGCAGCCCCCUGGGAUAACACUGACGCUCAUGCACGAAAGCGUGGGGAGCAAACAGGAUUAGAUACCCUAGUAGUCC